This 494-nucleotide ribosomal RNA is filed under the name uncultured bacterium. RNAcentral describes it as "partial 16S ribosomal RNA". It matches the Rfam family "Bacterial small subunit ribosomal RNA", at positions 28 to 507 of the family's 1533-position model. The record is from RNAcentral.
GACGAACGCUGGCGGCGUGCUUAACACAUGCAAGUCGAACGGAAAGGCCUGCUUUCCCUUGUGGAUUGCGGGUACUCGAGUGGCGAACGGGUGAGUAACACGUGAGUGAUCUGCCCCCAACUUGGGUAUAAGCCUGGGAAACUGGGUCUAAUUCCCGAUAGGACUGCAGGGUGGUGCCCGUGGUGGAAAACGAUUUUCUAGUGGUUGGGGAUGAGCUCGCGGCCUAUCAGCUUGUUGGUGGGGUAAUGGCCUACCAAGGCGGCGACGGGUAGCCGGCCUGAGAGGGUGGACGGCCACAUUGGGACUGAGAUACGGCCCAGACUCCUACGGGAGGCAGCAGUGGGGAAUAGUGCACAAUGGGCGGAAGCCUGAUGCAGCGACGCCGCGUGGGGGAUGACGGCCUUCGGGUUGUAAACUCCUUUCGACCGCGAGGAAGCCACCUGGUUGGAAGGGUGGUGACGGUAGUGGUAGAAGAAGCACCGGCUAACUACGUG